Molecule: ribosomal RNA, 429 nt
Filed under: Gemmatimonadota bacterium
Lineage: Bacteria; Pseudomonadati; Gemmatimonadota
Description: Gemmatimonadetes bacterium partial 16S ribosomal RNA
Rfam family: Bacterial small subunit ribosomal RNA
Source: RNAcentral
UAGGGAAUCUUCGGCAAUGGACGAAAGUCUGACCGAGCAACGCCGCGUGAGUGAAGAAGGUUUUCGGAUCGUAAAACUCUGUUGUUAGAGAAGAACAAGGACGUUAGUAACUGAACGUCCCCUGACGGUAUCUAACCAGAAAGCCACGGCUCUCUACGUGCCAGCAGCCGCGGUAAUACGUAGGUGGCAAGCGUUGUCCGGAUUUAUUGGGCGUAAAGCGAGCGCAGGCGGUUUCUUAAGUCGGAUGUGAAAGCCCCCGGCUCAACCGGGGAGGGUCAGUGGAAACUGGGAGGCUUGAGUGCAGAAGAGGAGAGUGGAAUUCCAUGUGUAGCGGUGAAAUACGGAGAUAGAUGGAGGAACACCAGUGACGAAGGCGGCUCUCUGGUCUGUAACUGACGCUGAGGCUCGAAAGCGUGGGGAGCAAACAGG